UCUGAGACUAAAAACACUUUUGAACAUACACAUGACCCACCAAAACAAGUUCCUUCCCAGGGCUAUUUUGCAGCGGCACCGUGGCUCCAUGCAGUGCUUCACGCACCCCAAGACACUUGUGAUUGAUUUAAAGAAAUACCAAUAAACCAGAGCAGGUUUUUCUCCCAUCCCGGAAUGCUGGGUGGACUAGCCAGACCCUCCUGUGCAGCGCUGUGGAGGAAGGUCCGGCAAUAAGAGACUAGGGAAUAUGUGAUGUGUAUGAAAGCAAUGCAUCAAUCAUUUAGUUUGUUAUAACUUUCAUUUUGUGUUAGCCUUAGAACAAGCCAUUUCCCCAUCAGCUUCACAAAGAUUUCAAAAUGUGUAUUUAAGAUCUGGUUUAUUAUAAUCUCAGGACUGUCACACAAACAUAGAUAGCUCAGCACGCAGUAGAUCUCAGCAUGGCACAGUCAUAUACUGGAUGUUGUUUUUUUCAUAUUGCCACAAGGCCGCAGAUGUACACAAUUAAAGUUGUCCUAAAGUUGAAUCCUUGAAAUUUGUCUCUGAAACGAGACAAGGCACUCACAUUGACCCAGACAGUCAAAUUACACCCCAUGUUGUGCUGUCAGAACCGGUCCAGAAUCUAAAUAUAUCCAGUCAGAAAAAGCAUUAAGAAAAUGUGGAAGAGAAAAAAUUACCAACAGGACAUUUUCAUAUCAUAAAUUUGAGAAGUUCUUAAGUUUUUGGAAAUGUAAUAACAAUGCAUCAGAUACUGACGGCUUCUUUCUAAUUAAGCAAUGAAACACAAAAGAUUUAGAUGUUUUAUAAAUGGUCCACUCAGGUGUACGAGGUGUUUUGACAUUUUUUGGCAAACCACCCACUUGUUUUUGUCACUUAUACAUUUCCACAUUUUAAAUCACCCUUCUUCAAAAUUCAGACACACUGGGUUUGUCUCUAAAAGUUGCUUCCUUUAUGUGGGAAAUCACCGCGGUUUGCAAUAAAAGAGAGGGCCCUCGGAUUAAAAUCAUGGCGCAUAAUGUGGGAAGGCUGCUUUCUCGUUUCAGUUUCUACUACAUGCUUUUCUCUGCAGUGUGUGCACUUACUGACCCACAUGUAGACGUGUUUGGGUUCGCUGUAAAACUCUGACCUCUCCAGGCUGCCAGCUGGCGUUGCAUUCCUAAGACUUCAACGUUAUCUUCCUGACAGCAAACAGUCCGCUGAAGUGAUGCCACAUCCAGAAACAUCCAUUCUUAGUUUAUUCUAACAUUUAUUCUUAAUUUCUUUUAUUGCUUUUACUUGAUCCCUAUGCAAAAAAAAAAAUUUCUCACACUCCAUUGUAGAUGCUCCAUUUGUGCAGAUAUAUGCAAUAUUUUUCAAGCCAUUUGAUUAUAGACUAAAAAUGCCUAAACAUCUGUACAUCAUUUUGGAAAAACAUGAUAGUUGCCAAGGAAAACAAUCAUCCUGUAGAGCCAACAUCCUAUUUGGUUCCUAACGGUUCUCCGGGAGUCUUCAUCAUUCUGAAACCAGAACACAACACAUGUUGAGGAUGACUCAUUUUCACUCCUUUCACCUAUAGAAG
This is a long non-coding RNA of Etheostoma cragini (Arkansas darter), 1555 nucleotides long. RefSeq lists it as uncharacterized. NCBI's taxonomy places the organism in Eukaryota, Metazoa, Chordata, Actinopteri, Perciformes, Percidae. The transcript has 2 exons. The record is from RefSeq and is a predicted model, not a curated record.